AACCUUAUUCCAAGUUCCCGAGCGCCCUAGGCCUCUUUCUCCUCCCUGCCUAACUGGUGAGGUGGGACUUCAAUGCCUUUUAGGUUUACAGUCUUUUCCUCCCCACGGCUUCUCUUUCCUCCCCGUCUCAGGCACUGGGCAUUUCCAGUCGAUCCAGCAGGUCUGGCUUCUCUCACAUAUGCAGUAAGGGUUAGGGGAGAAGGUCCCAGCUCCUCUUGUCUCUAGCAGAGUGUAAACUGGCUCUGCUGAGGAGGUGGCUGUGCUUUUAUUCCUUCUCCUGAGAACUGUUUAUAUAUUAAGGAGCUUCACAGCCUCCAACAUAAGGAAAGCAGGCCUCAAACUUCUUCAUGGGAAAAGAUGGCUUCUCUUUUUUAAUUGAAUGAACUAGAAGAAGUUCAUUGUUAUUCAUCAACUUCAAAGAGACUAUAUGAGGCCCCUUGGCCAGGACUACAGAGCAGUAUUUUUUAAUCAGAAAUUAUAGCCAAAAAGAAGAGACCAGAACACAUGGGUCUCCAGCGUACCAGGAUUUGUGAAGGCCUGAAGUUCGUAGAAUGAAAUCUAUGUGGAGAUGAUUUAAAAGAACGGUUUCACUGCUAAAAUCCUUUCGAAAUGAGUUCCUUUAAGUUCUUCAGUAACUAAAUCCUCCAGAAAGGAAAGCCGAGAGAAUCUAGUCCUAUACAAUAACACCCUCUAACAAAGAUCGCUAAAGGAAGAUUUUAGUAGAUGAAUAUCUUCAAUAAUACAUGGUCACAUACAUGUAUCUGACCAUAUGAUGGCUCUCUGCACCAAAUUCCUCCAAACUAUUAUAAUAUGUAUUGUCUGUAGUGCUAUUUAUUUGGCAGUUAAUCAUGUAUUACAUUGUGACAUUUCUUACAGUGAACCAUUAUGUAUGUGUUUAUGUUCUGCCCUCAACUACUCAAUGCCAGUACCUUAUUCUUAACACAGCAACCACCCUUUCUGGUCUGUCCUCACACCCUCAUUCCCAUCAUAGUUAUUCUCCUCUCUCAUGGAAAUGUUCAGUUUCUGGACAUCUCCUUUCUCUUCCAUUCUUCACCUGACCUUCCUUCCUUUCUUGGCCAGCCUGAAUAUUAUAAAGGGAAUUUUAUUUCAAACCCAGGAUCGCACUUAAGAGGAAAAGAAACAAAAGCCAGUUCUUUUUAUUGCACAUAGAACAAGGAGAAACUCCACCCCUUUUGUUGUCUGGUAUGUUUAAAACAAGAAAGAACUUUAGAAAAGUAGGAUAUGAGUGAAAAUUACAACCAAUGUUGAGAACUACUUUUUAAUUUUUUAUUACAAAAUUAGGAUGAUACUUCAUUAAACAUUGUACAUCAUUUCAAAACUGUUAUCUCAUAAUCAUGUUGCUUGUUUUGAAUUAUUCUUUUAAAGUGUAAUUUUUUUAAGCAAAGAAUCCAUAAAAUUACAUGGCUUGGAUGUACCAUAACUUACUUAAUCCUUAUGCUAUUGUUUAAUAUGUGGGUUGUUUCAGAUUUUUCAUGAUUGUAAAUAACAAAAUAAACUUCCUUAUACUUAA
Long non-coding RNA from Homo sapiens (human), 1531 nucleotides. Ensembl annotates it as lncRNA imatinib upregulated. Its record names the gene LNCRNA-IUR. Lineage: Eukaryota; Metazoa; Chordata; Mammalia; Primates; Hominidae. The record is from Ensembl.